GGGACAGAAAAACUAAGAGUAACAGAUGGGAUAGAAUGAGAGAUACUGGUGAGAUGGAAAUUAAGGUGUCAAGCUGCAAAACAGGAAGCAGAGCCAACUUUAAAUGGCAGGAAAUACAGCCAAGUGCCAGGGCACUGUAUCCAGAGAAUAUAGUGCUGGUGGGCACUAGUUAUCAUCAGGAAAAAGAAGAAAUGGGGAAGAGAGAGAGAGGGAGGCCAUCAACCGAAUCUAGAACAUUUCAUUUCUCAUUUAAAAAAAGAGAGAGAUCGAUCUAAUGCAAACACAGCAAAAUGAGAAUAUUUGUUAAAUCUGGGUGGUGGAUGCCAGUGUAUAUAAUAAACCAGUGGUUCUCCAACUUGGGUCCCCAGACCACCAGCAUCGAUAUCACUUGGAAACUUGUGAGAAAUGCAAAUUCUCAGACUCCACCCAAGACCUACUGAAUCGCAAACUCUGGAAAUGGAACUCAACAAUAUGUGUUUCAGAAUUCUACAUCCUGAGACAAUCAGAUUCUACUAUAACAGGCCAGGAAAGAAGGAAAGAGUGAAAGGAUGGAAUUCCCAGAUACUCCUUCCUCCUGCCUUGUUCCCCAGCAGCAUUCAGAGCAGGUGUUAACCGAUGCACUUCUUUCCUGAGGUUUCACUUUGUGGGAUGUGCAGAGCCAAACUUAGCCUAGAAGACCACCCCGUCUCUCGCUGAUGUGCCUUGACUCUAUGACUCGGUGUCCUGGGCGAAAACUGCCUCCACUGGUCGUGGGAGCUGUUCCUGGGGUGACGUGCACAGGUUUGAGUCCUCACUUGCCCCCGUGUCUCACUCCAUUUUUGCUGGAACGCAGCAAGAGCUUCAAAAGAUGGGCCUGAAAGUGGAUAUUCCUGAGAAUUAGAAACAAAUCACAGCAGGGAACUAACAACAUAAAAAUACUUCACACUGUGAGGAAUUGAAGCAAGAGUUCCUGUUGUGAUGUACACAAUGGACACAGCAUGUGAGAGGCUAUUAAAAAAAAAAAAACUGGAAGAUAAAGUAUGUCUUUGAGAAACAACUUCUAAAAACCACAGAGAACCCAAAUGUCUCAUAAGCAGAGAGUGUAACUGCCACACGAAAACCUCUGGGGUUGAAAUAGUGAAUCUGUGGAAUAAGUUGAAAGUUUGAAUCCCGAAGUAAGUUUUGCUGCAACUUGCCCCAUCUCCUGGUGCUCAUAAAUCCCUCUUGGUGCAACCAAAAGUCCUCCUGCUUCCAUCAGUUCCCAAGAACUGCUUGGCCAAGGUUACCAAGUCCAUUCCAAGAUCACUUAAGUACAUAAAACUGGAUGAGGAAGAAGUGGGAGCUGCUGUACACUAACCCAAUAAAGAUUCUCUUUCUACUCUGAUCCCAGCUUAGUUUACACCUGGAUGGACUGCAGAAUGUCCCAGAUAUCACUUGUAUCUUUGAAGAAGAGUUUUGUUACAUUAUUUCUACACCAGUGUGAUAAAAAUCUUCUCAAGAAUUGUACUGUCAAUAUCUUCUUGCAUUCAAUUAUUCUUCCUAGGCUUUUGAACCACAAUAUGUCUGUGGGGAUUGAGAGAAGCUCUGAAAUUAGAGACUGUACUUAAGAUUUUUCAUUGCACCAGAAAUCAACUCCAGUUAACUUGAACAGCAGAAAAGAAUUAUUGAAACAGGUAAGAAGUGCUCAUAGUAUCAACAAGAAAGCUGAACAACAAGACCAGACAGGUCCAACAUGAUAAGACAAAGCCAAGAUCAGCCCCAGUCAUGGCUGCUUGGGACUUCACCUCUGACACCGCUGCCUCUCAGCACUUUCCACCAGACACUGGCUUCUAGACUCCACAGCAACCACCCGGAACUCUUUUACUGACCCUGUACCUUCAAGUCAAUUCUUUAAGAUCCAGAGUUCUAGGCAGAAGCAUCCAAUUAGACACUUUUGUGUCAGCUGUCCAGGCUCUGGCUGUCAGGACAAUGAAGAGAGAAAUACCUACCCCUCCAUCAGUUUUUAUAAUAAGAAAUUAGGCUGUUUCUCACCUGCCGUUGGAUUCUGCCUAAGUAAGAAUGAUUAUAGGAAGCUGGUCAACCAAAACAACAAAACUACAGAACCCAUGGGUGGGUGUUACAGAGGAAUAGUGUCACUUCAUUCAGUUAAACAGGACGUUGGGAUGAAUGGGUUGGAGAAUCAGUGAGCUAACAUAGGGUAGGGAAAAUGAAAUUUAUGUGUAUUGGAAUAUAUGUUGAUUAUCAGAAUUUCAGAGGGGAAUACAUGAUUUAAUGUUCAAAUGAUUUAAUUUUUUUUAUUUUUAAUACUGGAAACAAACAUUCAGUUGAAUGAACAAUGUGAACAUAACAUUGAAUCUCAUGGAAUACAGCAUUUGGAAAUGCUAUAUUUGGAAAUCUUAUGUACAUGAAGGUGAGGUAGGAGAAAUUUUAAAUUGAGGGACACUCACCAUAGAAAAAAGUAAUUAUGAAAUUAAAAUGGCAAUUUUCAGAAAUAUGAUAUCUCAGAAAGUAUUCACUUGUUAUACCCUUUUCAGAAAGACUCUAUGGCAUGUACUACACCAAAAAAGAAAAUAAACCAAGCAAGUGGAAAGCAUAGGAAAUAGAAAACAAUGCAUAUUAGGAGAACACUGGGAGGAAUUCCUAGGAUGAGGGUAAAAGAAGAUGCCAGGGCACAGCCAUGCAACAGACCUAGACAGCUAUCAUCUCAUGGAGGAUAGACAUAAACCACCAGAUACUAGAGCUAAAACAAAAUCAAGUACCUCGAGGAGAAGAAAUCAAGGAUAAGGAGAGUGAAGGAUGAAAUCAGGCAUGAGCUUAACUCCACCCACAGGCGAGUUUCCCAGUGGUCACCUCAGGUAUCCCUUAAAGUUAACAACAAGAAAGCCAAUUAGAUAAUUACAAAUAUGCCUUCAGUAUACUAAUUACCUAAUACUUCAUACUGGUCAGUUACUUACAAGCUAAAUUUCUAUCUCUGAAAAGAAGAGAGCCACUAAAUACUCCUGAGGUCCUCCUGAUGCUUUUUCUCCUGAUCAGAAGUAGGUUCACAGCUAGUUGCCAUUCCUUCAACACAUCUUUGAACUUCAGCUUGUCCUUUUCCCUGUGGCCUCCAUUGACAGAUAAUUUUGGUUUGAGGUGAUAUUAAAUACAUUUGAUGAUUAAUAUGGCAUACAACUUGAUAGCUAGCAGGGACCCCAGCCCCACUGCAAAAGUGGGAGUGUCUAGGCUGCCUGCCAGACCAGGUAUUAAUUGUUUGAUCAUUGGACUGUGGGGAGCUCCUGAGGAUUCCAGGGGUGGCCAGGGCAAGGGUAGGGGCCAUGCAGGAGGCUUCACCGUGCUAGUACAAACCAACCAGUAUCAGCUCUAUCUCAGGAUUCUCAGCACUUAGCAGCUGGGCUAAGGUGGGAAUGGCCAUAUUUAAUGCAGGUCUGAAUCAUCUAUAGUUCGGAUCUGACUCAGACCAGCACCACGAUUUUGGCACUUCUAUCGGGAGAUGUGGGCAAUGAACACUCUUUGUGUAUCACGAAUGUUCACUAGUCUGCAGAAUGGCACAGUAUCUUUUUGGUUUUCACUAGUUUGUUAUUUUUCACUGUUAUGCUAUCUCCACCUAUUACCAAAGGCAUUUUUGGUUCUUCAGUGAUGAAUCCCCAUUGUCUAGAAUAGUUCUAGGCACAUAGGAGUCACUCAGUGAAUGAAUCACUGUGGCUUCUAGGAAACAGGAAAGGUAUCUUGCGCAGAGAAAAGAUGUGAAGGGAAAUCUAAAGAGAGUUCCUGGAAUUCUGAUACUAUCUUGAGGAGUGCUGUAUCUAGAUGACAGCACUCUGGGGAUGCCAUUCUCUUCUCAAAUGGCAAGACUGUGCAAAUCCAAGAGAAUCUUAGAAACCCAGAUGUGUUAAGA
Long non-coding RNA from Ailuropoda melanoleuca (giant panda), 3874 nucleotides. RefSeq lists it as uncharacterized. NCBI's taxonomy places the organism in Eukaryota, Metazoa, Chordata, Mammalia, Carnivora, Ursidae. The transcript has 4 exons. The record is from RefSeq and is a predicted model, not a curated record.